AUACGGAGGAUGCGAGCGUUGUCCGGAUUUAUUGGGUUUAAAGGGAGCGUAGGUGGAUUGUUAAGUCAGUUGUGAAAGUUUGCGGCUCAACCGUAAAAUUGCAGUUGAAACUGGGAGUCUUGAGUACAGUAGAGGUGGGCGGAAUUCGUGGUGUAGCGGUGAAAUGCUUAGAUAUCACGAAGAACUCCGAUUGCGAAGGCAGCUCACUAGACUGUUACUGACACUGAUGCUCGAAAGUGUGGGUAUCAAACAGGAUUAGAUACCCUGGUAGUCCACACAGUAAACGAUGAAUACUCGCUGUUUGCGAUAUACAGUAAGCGGCCAAGCGAAAGCAUUAAGUAUUCCACCUGGGGAGUACGCCGGCAACGGUGAAACUCAAAGGAAUUGACGGGG
Molecule: ribosomal RNA, 393 nt
Filed under: uncultured bacterium
Lineage: Bacteria
Description: partial 16S ribosomal RNA
Rfam family: Bacterial small subunit ribosomal RNA
Source: RNAcentral